AUUCCUCCAUGAUAAUACACAGCCGUAACCAUAUUAUACGAAAACGUUCUGCAGAGGCCUCCGUAUAGUAGAAUCUGACCUUCAAACAACGCCACAUUGCCUUGAACCUGUAUUGCAGCAUAGCGUUGGCUGUUUUACAGGUGGAAGUCUGUACUCAAGGAAUAACUGUAUGCAAGGUGUGACGCAAAAUGGCGUUGUCAGUUCCGACAAGAGAUCCUUUUUCUAACCUGCCUUAUGAGUUGAAGGUUCUCAUACUUCAACAUCUUUCAGCUGAGGACCUGUGUCACGUGGCAUUAUGUAAUCGAUCCUGGAGAGAAGCCACCAAUGACGAUGCUCUAUGGCGCCCUCUUUGCCGAGAGAAGCGAUGGGAGAAGUUUGAUGCAGUCGUUGAUCUUUGU
This is a long non-coding RNA of Patiria miniata (bat star), 398 nucleotides long. RefSeq lists it as uncharacterized. Lineage: Eukaryota; Metazoa; Echinodermata; Asteroidea; Valvatida; Asterinidae. The record is from RefSeq and is a predicted model, not a curated record. The transcript has 2 exons.